UACGUAGGGUGCGAGCGUUGUCCGGAAUUACUGGGCGUAAAGGGCUCGUAGGCGGCCAACUAAGUCAGACGUGAAAUCCCUCAGCUUAACUGGGGAACUGCGUCUGAUACUGGAUGGCUUGGAUUCGGGAGAGGAAUGCGGAAUUCCAGGUGUAGCGGUGAAAUGCGUAGAUAUCUGGAGGAACACCGGUGGCGAAGGCGGCAUUCUGGACCGACAUUGACGCUGAGGAGCGAAAGCCAGGGGAGCAAACGGG
Molecule: ribosomal RNA, 253 nt
Filed under: uncultured bacterium
Lineage: Bacteria
Description: partial 16S ribosomal RNA
Rfam family: Bacterial small subunit ribosomal RNA
Source: RNAcentral